Molecule: long non-coding RNA, 1933 nt
Organism: Gymnodraco acuticeps
Lineage: Eukaryota; Metazoa; Chordata; Actinopteri; Perciformes; Bathydraconidae
Exons: 9
Source: RefSeq, a predicted model, not a curated record
CACUCCUUGGGUGACUCGGACUCGGAGAGUGACUCGAGAGUGACUUGGACUCGUGAAUUGGUGACUUGACUACAACACUGAUUAGUAGUGCAUGACAGGAUUAAUGUGUCAACUGUCAUGGUUGUAAACAUACUGGUAAGGAAGAUAACAUUACUUUACCCUUUUGUAGGCUAAAGCAUGCUGUUAUCAAUCAUAAACUUGGUCAUUAUCUUCCAGUAUUUAUGAAUUCCUUUGAAAAAGUAGGCCUGCUUUGCUUACAAUUAAGUGUAUGCUUCACAUCAGACCUUUUAUGGGCACAGCCCAGAAACACACAACAAAACAACAAAAUCUUAGUAGUAAAACAAAGUAAGAUUUGCUACUUGGUUUUAAUGAUCUUGUUUGUUAUAUCCUUUUAAAUACCAGAAAACCAAAACAAAUACUUCCUUAACAAUGUUACAGCCCACAAAACCCUGAAGAAAAUACCCCAAUUUAUUUUGUUCAUUAUUUUUGUCUUUGCUAAAACAAAUAACUUUGUCUAUGUCAAUGUUAAGAUGUCAACCAGGGUAUUGAUGUAAUGGUUGUGUAAUGUAUUUGCAUAUGCUAGAUAUUUAUUUUCGAUAUAGAUACAAUUAUUGCUGUCAUCAUUAACUCUUCUUCCUUUUCAAUUUCUAUAGGGUUUUAUCAUUCAAGUUAUUUGGGAACAAAACGAAAGACAUUUUGACGGAAGAAAUAGUGGCAAAAGUGAAAGCCCUAGAAAAUAAUAAAGACACAUCUUUCCACACACAACUCUUCUGGGGCACUCUAUGCACUCAACUUGGGAUUCCUGUGAACACAAACAAUCAGUACAGAUUAAGAAGACAAUUUCACAAGCACAAACAAGAUGUCACAGUGUCAACGCAGCUGACCCUGGACAGUGGAAGCUCGCAAGAGGGAGACGAGACGACUGACCAAACAAAUCUGCACGACAGCAUUGACUGCUACUAUCGGAUUGCCAGUGGGACAGCAACAAAAGCAGACUUUAAGGUGCCUGUUCUGCAUCGCUGCCUGAGUCACAUCAUGAAGAACGCCAAGGAAAUGUCUGAAACAUAGUGGUUGCUAUCAAAGUGGCGAUAUGACUCUGCUCUGCCUGUUGCAAAGGAUGAUGUUUUACUCAGUGAACUUCCACUAGAUCUGCACGUCUUACAUGAAAGGCACAUAGGGUUAAGAAAACACACACAAAUAUUAAUGAUUGCACCAAAGAACUACCAUCUGGCCAUGCAUGUGUUUGGUCUACAACGGCAAGUAACUUGGAAGACCUUGAUGACAUGGUGCAAAGUACAGCAGUUGUCUUUUCAAGUCCGUCCAGAGGGGCGAAUGUUUACAAACAUUUGAACAACCUCCAGUCAUGGCUGUUAAAAAAAGGACUUCAGUUGGAUGACGCCGUCAUGUCUGAAACAAAUCCUGAAAACUUAGAGGAAAUCAAAGGAAGAAAGAACUUUGGGAAAAGAUACAGCGAAGUGAUUUCCAAAGCUCCACUUGAUACCAGCGGUGAUCCCAACGGUUACUACUGUAAAGGCCUUGUGGCUCACAUCAACCAGUACCUUCUUCCCUAUGCUGGAUUGUGGAGCGGGAUAAUGCUUGAACAUAACAAGACAACAAGACACAAGGCAUCAUGGAGAAGAGCCAAUGGGAUUUGAAACAUAUCCGCUUCCCAUCACGCAGGUUCAGCAGAAUGGAUGACUUUGUUGUCCAAUAUCAACAGAAACACAGUGCUAUGCUGGAGUAUGCCGACUCCUGGAGACUUUCGAAAGGUAGAUUCCUCAGUGACUGAGGAUGUCCUGGGAACACCCAGCGAUAUCUCUGCCCAGAAGCAAAGUUCACCCAUCCACAACAGUUUGACUUCAAAUGUAUAUUCAAUGGAAUAAUUAACAGAAUAUAUUAGAAAAUAAAAUAAUAAAAAGAGAUUAUUUUUGUA